CCAGAGAUGGAUUGGUGCUCGAAAGAGAACGCUAACACAGGUGCUGCAUGGCUGUCGUCAGCUCGUGUCGUGAGAUGUUGGUUAAGUCCCGCAACGAGCGCAACCCUUGCCAUUAAUUGCCAUCAUUUAGUUGGGCACUUUAAUGGGACUGCCGGUGACAAACCGGAGGAAGGUGGGGAUGACGUCAAGUCCUCAUGGCCCUUAUGGGUAGGGCUUCACACGUCAUACAAUGGUCGGUACAGAGGGUUGCCAAGCCGCGAGGUGGAGCCAAUCCCUUAAAGCCGAUCGUAGUCCGGAUCGUAGUCUGCAACUCGACUACGUGAAGUCGGAAUCGCUAGUAAUCGCAGAUCAGCCAUGGCGCGGUGAAUACGUUCCCGGGUCUU
Molecule: ribosomal RNA, 383 nt
Filed under: uncultured Azoarcus sp.
Lineage: Bacteria; Pseudomonadati; Pseudomonadota; Betaproteobacteria; Rhodocyclales; Zoogloeaceae
Description: bacterial SSU rRNA
Rfam family: Bacterial small subunit ribosomal RNA
Source: RNAcentral